UACAGAGGUCCCAAGCGUUGUUCGGAUUCACUGGGCGUAAAGGGUGCGUAGGUGGUGAGGUAAGUUUGAUGUGAAAUCUCCGGGCUCAACCCGGAAAUGGCAUUGAAUACUAUCUUGCUAGAGGAGUGGAGGGGGGACUGGAAUACUUGGUGUAGCGGUGAAAUGCGUAGAUAUCAAGAGGAACACCUGAGGUGAAGACGGGUUGCUGGGCUGACACUGACGCUGAGGCGCGAAAGCCAGGGGAGCAAACGGG
Molecule: ribosomal RNA, 253 nt
Filed under: uncultured bacterium
Lineage: Bacteria
Description: partial 16S ribosomal RNA
Rfam family: Bacterial small subunit ribosomal RNA
Source: RNAcentral